Molecule: ribosomal RNA, 378 nt
Filed under: uncultured bacterium
Lineage: Bacteria
Description: bacterial SSU rRNA
Rfam family: Bacterial small subunit ribosomal RNA
Source: RNAcentral
ACUCCUACGGGAGGCAGCAGUAGGGAAUCUUCCACAAUGGGCGCAAGCCUGAUGGAGCAACACCGCGUGAGUGAAGAAGGGUUUCGGCUCGUAAAGCUCUGUUGUUAAAGAAGAACACGUAUGAGAGUAACUGUUCAUACGUUGACGGUAUUUAACCAGAAAGUCACGGCUAACUACGUGCCAGCAGCCGCGGUAAUACGUAGGUGGCAAGCGUUAUCCGGAUUUAUUGGGCGUAAAGAGAGUGCAGGCGGUUUUCUAAAGUCUGAUGUGAAAGCCUUCGGCUUAACCGGAGAAGUGCAUCGGAAACUGGAUAACUUGAGUGCAGAAGAGGGUAGUGGAACUCCAUGUGUAGCGGUGGAAUGCGUAGAUAUAUGAGAA